UACAUAUAUAUUUAUUAUACUUCUUUAGAUGGGUGAUAAAGAUAACACUCAAAUAUGCAUCACGGUAUAGCUUGGGUUCUGCAUUGCAUUUCAACAUUCCUUUUUUUUUGGCCGGGACGGGAGGUGGCAGGGUUUGGAGUCUGGAAUGAACUCGGACCGUAAAGGAGCAGCAUUUGGCUGGCUCGUCCCGCCCAUCUCCCCGUGUGACUCCGCCCAAGGGCACCAAAGCACAGAGCUGCAGGACGGAGACGGCAAGGAGGGGCGGGUCCACCGGUGGAAGGGCGUGUCCAUCUAUGAAGGGGGCGUAUCCCCUUGCAGAGAGGCGUAUCCAACAGAGGUCCGUCGCCCCCCACCCCCGCCCCGGAUACGUGCUGUGCCCUGGGCGACACUGAUAUGGGCAGGGACAGCCGUGCUGUAUGCUGUCAUAGUACCCGGAUAAAACGGAACCGGCCCUUUAAGCAGGUGGCAGUGGGUGCGGUUUCAUCGCCCGUGGGGGAGGGGUUUGGAACGUGAUUGGCGCGUGGCCUGUGCGUAGUCAUCUCCAGGUUGGGAAAACCCGGCGCCACUUCUCGACGAUGUCGUUCCUGACUACCCAGCAUGCUUUGCUACCACGACCACCGCCGCCACAGGGACGCACAGGGAGGUGGACGGCUCUCGCAAACUUCGAUGAUGAAAUCUACAACCCAACCAGCCAGUGUUAACGACCCCCAAACGAUCUCCCAAGAUCUGUAGCAGCAAACUGGACAUAACUCGAGUCUGUAUCUAAAUAUUCUUCAUAUGGUUUUAACUGCUCGUAGCUUUCACUUUUCUCCUUAUAAGUACUGUGUAAUAUUCACCUGGAUAAUAUUCUCACUUUCCCCAAGCCCAGCACAUCUUAUGAUCUUAAAACCCCUGCGUUUUUGCAGUGUAGCUGGGUUUAUUAACACUCGCCCAACCUCGGUCGUGAUGCGUAUCCUCAGAAACGCACAAGUGCUGCACCCGCAUGGCAGGCCCACCGACCCCUGCCCAGAGCGGCUCACAGCCUCCAUCAUCACAAACCGCUCCCUUACGUAACACACACGCACACACACACUCACUCUCACACACACACUCACACACACACACUCACACACGCACUCACACACACACACGCACACACACUCACUCUCACACACACACUCACACACACACACUCUCACACACACACUCACACUACACACACACACUCGCACAUACACGGUCACACACACACACUCACACUACACACACACACUCACAAUCACUACACACACUCACACACACACACACACACUCUACCUAAUCACAAACCGCUUCCUCACGUAAUCGCCACGUAUCAGCCAAUUAGAACAUUAGGACAGUAGGUUUUCCCCAGCACGUCCCUCUGUGAUGUCAUUUCCUGCCCCUCGCCCUUGUGAUAAUGACAGUCCAUUUUUGGAAUGGACUGUGUCGAGGCAGCUCCCAGCCCCUCCUGUAAUUUAUUUAUUUAUUCUCAGAGGUGCUGUGUGAGGAGAGCGAGCUUGGGGGUCCCGCCUCUGUUUGGUGCGGGACGUUGGGGGUGACGCACUCUGUCCGGCACACGGGACUGUGGAUUCAGGAAGGGCAACCUGACUCCUGGGGCGUUUCUCAAUAAAACGGAUCGACAGAUCCACCAAUCCAA
Long non-coding RNA from Conger conger (European conger), 1657 nucleotides. RefSeq lists it as uncharacterized. The record is from RefSeq and is a predicted model, not a curated record. Lineage: Eukaryota; Metazoa; Chordata; Actinopteri; Anguilliformes; Congridae. The transcript has 2 exons.